This 464-nucleotide ribosomal RNA is filed under the name uncultured bacterium. RNAcentral's name for it is "partial 16S ribosomal RNA". It matches the Rfam family "Bacterial small subunit ribosomal RNA", at positions 28 to 507 of the family's 1533-position model. The record is from RNAcentral.
GACGAACGCUGGCGGCGUGCUUAACACAUGCAAGUCGAACGGAAAGGCCCAGCUUGUUGGGUGCUCGAGUGGCGAACGGGCGAGUAACACGCGGGUGGUAUGCCUCUCACUACGGGUUAAGUAUGGGAAAGUGGGUCGAAUUCCGGCUAGGAAAAUUGUUUAGUGGCGGGGGUGGAAAGUUUGUUCGGUUAGUGAUGGGCCCGCUGCCUAUAAGCUUGUUGGUGGGGUAAUGGCCUACCAAAGCGUCGUCGGGUAGCCGGCCUGAGAGGGUGGACGGCCACAUUGGGACUGAGAUACGGCCCAGACGCCUACGGGAGGCAGCAGUGGGGAAUAUUGCACAAUGGGCGCAAGCCUGAUGCAGCGACGCCGCGUGGGGGAUGACGGCCUUCGGGUUGUAAACCUCUUUCGACAGGGACGAAGCUUUGGUGACGGUACCUGUAUAAGAAGCACCGGCUAACUACGUG